ACACACAGCCUGAGGAGGGCGUGGAGCUGGACCAUCAGGAAGAUGGGCCACGUGGCUGGAGACAAAUGAGUGAGAGAGAGCAUGUUAGGAUAAGAAUCAGAACCACACAAAGUAUCCAGA
This is a non-coding RNA of Ceratotherium simum simum (southern white rhinoceros), 120 nucleotides long. The record is from RefSeq and is a predicted model, not a curated record. NCBI's taxonomy places the organism in Eukaryota, Metazoa, Chordata, Mammalia, Perissodactyla, Rhinocerotidae.